This is a long non-coding RNA of Octopus bimaculoides (California two-spot octopus), 1331 nucleotides long. RefSeq lists it as uncharacterized. The record is from RefSeq and is a predicted model, not a curated record. NCBI's taxonomy places the organism in Eukaryota, Metazoa, Mollusca, Cephalopoda, Octopoda, Octopodidae.
AGUCGGUGUGCAACAAAGAUACAAGGCUCCAUCUUUGGGAUGAAACUCCGAGUAACAGUCUUUUGUUAUAUUUCUGCUGCUUUUAUAUAUAUAUCUACGCACACACACACUAUUAUUUGUAGCUUCAUCUAACUCGAGUCCCACCAAAUGAUUUCACGCCUCUCAAAGUUUCAGAAUUCUUACGACAUAAAUACCACCUCCACACACACACACACACACACACACACACAUGACACUUCCAGAAAGCGAUUCCUCCCCAAAUCCUCCACCUUCGCAUCCCAGGUGAUCGUGUUACUCAUUACGCCACCAGUUUUCGUACAGUCACUUAGCAGUUAGCGUGUAGGUUAUUCUGCUGUUUAUCAAAGAAAUUCUAUCUAUGAUGAGAAUUAAUUACAAGAAUAUGCAUACUUAUUAAUUAGCAAUAAAGAUUUAAAUAAAUACUAUAAAACAUUUACAAAUAUUAAUUAUUUGCAGAUAUUAAAAAAAGCGCUGCUAUUUUUAGCAUUCAGUGUCUAUGAGCAACCGUCAAAUGUUACAUAACGCGGCGUUCACCUGUCUCUGUCAGCGUUUUCUAUUCAGAAGGUGAGACCGGAAAGCUUUGGAAAUUGAAAUGUUAAUCGGCCGAAGACCGUUGUUACUGAUCCAAGCUAACCAGGAAAAAAAACUAAAAAUGGUAACGGGAAAAAAACUUUUAGUAAAGUAUUGAAAAAUUCCGUAACGUUGAGAUUAGCACAGGCUUUUUGUUACGGGGCAGAUAUCAUCUACUCUGGCGUGUGGACUCAACGCGAUAUCUAAAAGGAUGAUUGUAAACACAAAUAAUGUAUGGUUAGUGAAAGAAGAGAGGUGGAUCUACUGGAAGUUUCUAUCCUGGUUUUAUGCAGUGAAAGAGUGAAAAUAAUUGCCCAAGUAUAAUUUCGAUCAAUCAAAAUAUCGCAAAGGUAAUUCAAUCUUUUUAUCACAGAGAAAAGAAGGAUAAUCAACAUCACUGGACUUGAAAUUUCGAAGACUACAUGAGCGCUUUCUGCGGACCAUAUCGACUCAGUUGUUAACGAGUGGGCCUUGGAUACACCAAAGACCCAAAUAUUAUUUGAUGUUACGUGAAGAAGCUCUCCCGAGGGAUUAGUGUAUAGUUAAUCAUAUUCGCUUUUCCAAAGUUUAAGAACAUUUUUGUCAUUCGACUCCCAUCACAUAGAUCAGAAUGCAGGUCUGUGUUCGAUCAAAUGCUGCUCCCUUGAGGACUUUUUGGCGUUCAAGUCAUUUGCGAAGCAUCCUCCUACGUUUGGUGUCAUUUUGCAACGUCAUUUAUGGAAACAAUAAACUUUUAAAGACUC